ACGCUGGCGGCAGGCCUAACACAUGCAAGUCGAGCGGUAGAGAGAAGCUUGCUUCUCUUGAGAGCGGCGGACGGGUGAGUAAUGCCUAGGAAUCUGCCUGGUAGUGGGGGAUAACGUCCGGAAACGGACGCUAAUACCGCAUACGUCCUACGGGAGAAAGCAGGGGACCUUCGGGCCUUGCGCUAUCAGAUGAGCCUAGGUCGGAUUAGCUAGUUGGUGGGGUAAUGGCUCACCAAGGCGACGAUCCGUAACUGGUCUGAGAGGAUGAUCAGUCACUGGAACUGAGACACGGUCCAGACUCCUACGGGAGGCAGCAGUGGGGAAUAUUGGACAAUGGGCGAAAGCCUGAUCCAGCCAUGCCGCGUGUGUGAAGAAGGUCUUCGGAUUGUAAAGCACUUUAAGUUGGGAGGAAGGGCAGUAAAUUAAUACUUUGCUGUUUUGACGUUACCGACAGAAUAAGCACCGGCUAACUCUGUGCCAGCAGCCGCGGUAAUACAGAGGGUGCAAGCGUUAAUCGGAAUUACUGGGCGUAAAGCGCGCGUAGGUGGUUCGUUAAGUUGGAUGUGAAAUCCCCGGGCUCAACCUGGGAACUGCAUUCAAAACUGACGAGCUAGAGUAUGGUAGAGGGUGGUGGAAUUUCCUGUGUAGCGGUGAAAUGCGUAGAUAUAGGAAGGAACACCAGUGGCGAAGGCGACCACCUGGACUGAUACUGACACUGAGGUGCGAAAGCGUGGGGAGCAAAC
This 743-nucleotide ribosomal RNA is filed under the name uncultured bacterium. RNAcentral's name for it is "bacterial SSU rRNA". It matches the Rfam family "Bacterial small subunit ribosomal RNA", at positions 33 to 773 of the family's 1533-position model. The record is from RNAcentral.